Long non-coding RNA from Daphnia carinata, 320 nucleotides. RefSeq lists it as uncharacterized. The record is from RefSeq and is a predicted model, not a curated record. The transcript is spliced from 3 exons. NCBI's taxonomy places the organism in Eukaryota, Metazoa, Arthropoda, Branchiopoda, Diplostraca, Daphniidae.
CGAUCGGUUUAGGCUGUCCCGCUAUUGGGCAUCAUGGGAGUCGCCCUGACCGGCGUGACCGGCUUCUGCAUCUACGCGUUGAUGACCAAAAAUGACGUCAUGCUGAAUCAUCACGACAAGAUACCACCAUGGGAGAAGAGCAUCGACGAAGUGAAUCCAAAGUUGUUGAACUUGCAUCCCCUUCACAAGCUGGACCCGGAAAUCCGCAAACUCAAGGAGGAAAUCAACCAAAAAAGCGCUUGAAAAAAAAAAAAAAGAGGAAACGUCUACGGUCGUCGUCAAUCCGGAAAAAAAAAAACAUUCGAUGUUUUUCUUUAGAU